GAUGAAGAACGCAGUGAAAUGCGAUAAGUAAUGUGAAUUGCAGAAUUCAGUGAAUCAUCGAAUCUUUGAACGCACAUUGCGCCCGCCAGUAUUCUGGCGAGCAUGCCUGUCCGAGCGUCAUUUCAACCCUCGGGCCCCCCUCUGCGGGCGGCCCGGCGUUGGGGCUCAGGCGCCGUCUCUGCUCGGCGCCUGUCCCCUAAAUGCAGUGGCGGCCUCGCCGCUGCCUCCUCCGCGUAGUAGCACAAACCUCGCGGCUGGAAGGCGGCGCGGCCACGCCGUAAAACCCCCCAACUUUACCAAGGUUGACCUCGGAUCAGGUAGGAAUACCCGCUGAACUUAAGCAUAUCAAUAAGCGGAGGA
This 360-nucleotide unclassified non-coding RNA is filed under the name soil metagenome. Its description in RNAcentral is "partial contains 5.8S ribosomal RNA, internal transcribed spacer 2, and large subunit ribosomal RNA". The stretch from base 1 to 120 matches the Rfam family "5.8S ribosomal RNA", at positions 35 to 154 of the family's 154-position model. The record is from RNAcentral.